This 503-nucleotide ribosomal RNA is filed under the name uncultured bacterium. RNAcentral's name for it is "bacterial SSU rRNA". It matches the Rfam family "Bacterial small subunit ribosomal RNA", at positions 29 to 521 of the family's 1533-position model. The record is from RNAcentral.
AGUGAACGCUGGCGGCAGGCCUAAUACAUGCAAGUCGAACGGCAGCACAGCAGAGCUUGCUCUGUGGGUGGCGAGUGGCGGACGGGUGAGGAAUACGUGGGAAUCAGCCCAGUCGUGGGGGAUAACGUAGGGAAACUUACGCUAAUACCGCAUGCGCCCUUCGGGGGAAAGCCGGGGACCUUCGGGCCUGGCGCGAUUGGAUGAGCCCACGUCGGAUUAGCUAGUUGGCGGGGUAAAGGCCCACCAAGGCGACGAUCCGUAGCUGGUCUGAGAGGAUGAUCAGCCACACUGGAACUGAGACACGGUCCAGACUCCUACGGGAGGCAGCAGUAGGGAAUAUUGGACAAUGGGCGCAAGCCUGAUCCAGCCAUGCCGCGUGAGUGAAGAAGGCCCUCGGGUUGUAAAGCUCUUUUGUCCGGAAAGAAAGCGCCGGGUUAAUACCCUGGUGUCCUGACGGUACCGGAAGAAUAAGCACCGGCUAACUUCGUGCCAGCAGCCGCGGU